CAUGCAAGUCGAACGCGAAAGGGGCUUCGGCCCUGAGUAGAGUGGCGAACGGGUGAGUAACACGUGGGUGACCUGCCCUCGAGUGGGGGAUAACAUCCCGAAAGGGGUGCUAGUACCGCAUGACAUCCUGUCUUUGAACAGAUGGACAUUAAAGCCGGGGAUCGCAAGACCUGGCGCUCGAGGAGGGGCUCGCGUCCGAUUAGCUAUUUGGUGGGGUAAUGGCCUACCAAGGCGACGAUCGGUAGCCGGCCUGAGAGGGCGGACGGCCACACUGGGACUGAGACACGGCCCAGACUCCUACGGGAGGCAGCAGUGGGGAAUUGUUCGCAAUGGGCGCAAGCCUGACGACGCAACGCCGCGUGGAGGAUGAAGAUCUUCGGGUCGUAAACUCCUUUCGAUCGGGACGAACGGCUGGUGGUCUAACACAUCAUCAGAGUGACGGUACCGAGAGAAGAAGCCCCGGCUAACUCCGUGCCAGCAGCCGCGGUAAUACGGGGGGGGCAAGCGUUGUUCGGAAUUACUGGGCGUAAAGGGCGCGUAGGCGGCCUGCUAAGUCGGAUGUGAAAUCCCUCGGCUCAACCGAGGAACUGCAUCCGAUACUGGCGGGCUUGAAUCCGGGAGAGGGAUGUGGAAUUCCAGGUGUAGCGGUGAAAUGCGUAGAUAUCUGGAGGAACACCGGUGGCGAAGGCGGCAUCCUGGACCGGUAUUGACGCUGAGGCGCGAAAGCUAGGGGAGCAAACGGGAUUAGAUACCCCGGUAGUCCUAGCCCUAAACGAUGAGUGCUUGGUGUGGCGGGUAUCGAUCCCUGCCGUGCCGAANCUAACGCAUUAAGCACUCCGC
This 840-nucleotide ribosomal RNA is filed under the name uncultured Pseudomonadota bacterium. Its description in RNAcentral is "bacterial SSU rRNA". It matches the Rfam family "Bacterial small subunit ribosomal RNA", at positions 54 to 872 of the family's 1533-position model. The record is from RNAcentral. Lineage: Bacteria; Pseudomonadati; Pseudomonadota.